This 101-nucleotide small nuclear RNA is filed under the name Pteropus vampyrus (large flying fox). Lineage: Eukaryota; Metazoa; Chordata; Mammalia; Chiroptera; Pteropodidae. The record is from RNAcentral.
GUGCUCACUUCAGCAGCGCAUAUACUAAAAUCGGAAUACAGAGAUUAGCACGGCCCCUGCACAAGGACAACACGCAAAUUUGUGAAGUGUUCCAUAUUUUU